This 481-nucleotide ribosomal RNA is filed under the name uncultured bacterium. RNAcentral describes it as "partial 16S ribosomal RNA". It matches the Rfam family "Bacterial small subunit ribosomal RNA", at positions 28 to 523 of the family's 1533-position model. The record is from RNAcentral.
GACGAACGCUGGCGGCGUGCUUAACACAUGCAAGUCGAGCGGAAAGGCCACUUCGGUGGUACUCGAGCGGCGAACGGGUGAGUAACACGUGAGUAAUCUGCCCCUGGCUUUGGGAUAGCCACCGGAAACGGUGAUUAAUACCGGAUACGACCACUUCUCGCAUGGGAUGGUGGUGGAAAGUUUUUUCGGCCAGGGGUGUGCUCGCGGCCUAUCAGCUUGAUGGUGAGGUAAUGGCUCACCAUGGCUUCGACGGGUAGCCGGCCUGAGAGGGUGACCGAUCACACUGGGCCUGAGACACGGCCCAGGCUCCUACGGGAGGGAGCAGUGGGGAAUGUUGGACAAUGGGCGGAAGCCUGAUCCAGCAACGCCGCGUGAGGGAUGACGGCCUUCGGGUUGUAAACCUCUUUCAGCAGGGACGAAGCGCAAGUGACGGUACCUGCAGAAGAAGCACCGGCCAACUACGUGCCAGCCGCCGCUGUAA